This 476-nucleotide long non-coding RNA is filed under the name Pan troglodytes (chimpanzee). Its description in RNAcentral is "long non-coding RNA NONPTRT009976". Lineage: Eukaryota; Metazoa; Chordata; Mammalia; Primates; Hominidae. The record is from RNAcentral.
GGUGCCUGCUUUCUCUUCUGCCAUAACUAAUUGUUGAUUGCAAACACAAGUGCAUGUGAGUGUAGAGGGACAGGCCUGCUCUCUGUAUCCCUCUCCUGGCCCUCCCUGUGCUUUUGCUUUGGUCAGCAGGCUAAAGGAGGAGGACUCUGUAUCUUGCUGCACCUUCUUAGCUUGGAUUCUUUGAUGAAACACCACCAUAUUGGAGCAUUCCACCUGCCAAAGAACUGAAGGCAAGCUUCAGCCAACAGCCAGCAAGGAACUAAAAUCUUCAGCCCAAAGCCACAGGGAACUGAGUCCUGCCAACCGCCACAUCAGUGAGCAUAGAUGGGAUCCUCCACAGUUGAACUUUCAGAUGAGACCAGAGCCACACCUGACAAUUUGAUUGCAGCCUUGCAGGCAACCCUGAAGCAGAGGACCCAGUUCAAUCAUGCUGGGAUUCCUGACCCACAGAAUCCAUGAGAAAAUAAAUGUGUGUG